This 506-nucleotide ribosomal RNA is filed under the name uncultured bacterium. Its description in RNAcentral is "partial 16S ribosomal RNA". It matches the Rfam family "Bacterial small subunit ribosomal RNA", at positions 28 to 523 of the family's 1533-position model. The record is from RNAcentral.
GAUGAACGCUAGCUACAGGCUUAACACAUGCAAGUCGAGGGGUAACGAGAGGAAAGCUUGCUUUCCUUGUCGACGACCGGCGCACGGGUGAGUAACGCGUAUCCAACCUGCCCCCAACUAGGGAAUAACCUUGCGAAAGUAAGACUAAUACCCUAUAAUUUCCUCAGAUGACAUCUGACGAGGAAUAAAGAUUUAUCGGUUGUGGAUGGGGAUGCGUCUGAUUAGCUUGUUGGCGGGGUAACGGCCCACCAAGGCAACGAUCAGUAGGGGUUCUGGAAGGAAGGUCCCCACCAUUGGAACUGGGAAACGGUCCAAACUCCUACGGGAGGCAGAAGUGAGGAAUAUUGGUGCAUGGGCGGAAGCCUGAGCCAGCCAAGUAGCGUGCAGGAUGACGGCCCUAUGGGUUGUAAACUGCUUUUAUACAGGAAUAAAGUUAGCCACGUGUGGUUAUUUGUAGGUACUGUAUGAAUAAGGACCGGCUAAUUCCGUGCCAGCCGCCGCCGUAA